ACAGCAGCAGCCACGGUAAUACGAAGGGUGCAAGCGUUACUCGGAAUUACUGGGCGUAAAGCGUGCGUAGGUGGUGGUUUAAGUCCGUUGUGAAAGCCCUGGGCUCAACCUGGGAAUUGCAGUGGAUACUGGGUCACUAGAGUGUGGUAGAGGAUAGUGGAAUUUCCGGUGUAGCAGUGAAAUGCGUAGAGAUCGGAAGGAACAUCUGUGGCGAAGGCGACUAUCUGGGCCAACACUGACACUGAGGCACGAAAGCGUGGGGAGCAAACAGGAUUAGAUACCCGCGUAGUCCCUGUCUCUUAUAC
This 305-nucleotide ribosomal RNA is filed under the name uncultured bacterium. RNAcentral describes it as "partial 16S ribosomal RNA". It matches the Rfam family "Bacterial small subunit ribosomal RNA", at positions 506 to 807 of the family's 1533-position model. The record is from RNAcentral.